GGGUUGUGAGGUUAAGCGACUAAGCGUACACGGUGGAUGCCCUGGCAGUCAGAGGCGAUGAAGGGCGUGCUAAUCUGCGAUAAGCGCCGGUAAGGUGAUAUGAACCGUUAUAACCGGCGAUACCCGAAUGGGGAAACCCAGUGUGACUCGUCACACUAUCAUUAACUGAAUCCAUAGGUUAAUGAGGCGAACCGGGGGAACUGAAACAUCUAAGUACCCCGAGGAAAAGAAAUCAACCGAGAUUCCCCCAGUAGCGGCGAGCGAACGGGGAGGAGCCCAGAGCCUGAAUCAGCAUGUGUGUUAGUGGAAGCGUCUGGAAAGGCGCGCGAUACAGGGUGACAGCCCCGUACACAAAAGCGCAUGUGCUGUGAGCUCGAUGAGUAGGGCGGGACACGUGGUAUCCUGUCUGAAUAUGGGGGGACCAUCCUCCAAGGCUAAAUACUCCUGACUGACCGAUAGUGAACCAGUACCGUGAGGGAAAGGCGAAAAGAACCCCGGCGAGGGGAGUGAAAAAGAACCUGAAACCGUGUACGUACAAGCAGUGGGAGCACCCUUUUGGGUGUGACUGCGUACCUUUUGUAUAAUGGGUCAGCGACUUAUAUUCUGUAGCAAGGUUAACCGAAUAGGGGAGCCGGAGGGAAACCGAGUCUUAAUUGGGCGUUAAGUUGCAGGGUAUAGACCCGAAACCCGGUGAUCUAGCCAUGGGCAGGUUGAAGGUUGGGUAACACUAACUGGAGGACCGAACCGACUAAUGUUGAAAAAUUAGCGGAUGACCUGUGGCUGGGGGUGAAAGGCCAAUCAAACCGGGAGAUAGCUGGUUCUCCCCGAAAGCUAUUUAGGUAGCGCCUCGUGAAUUCAUCUCCGGGGGUAGAGCACUGUUUCGGCUAGGGGGCCAUCCCGGCUUACCAACCCGAUGCAAACUGCGAAUACCGGAGAAUGUUAUCACGGGAGACACACGGCGGGUGCUAACGUCCGUCGUGAAGAGGGAAACAACCCAGACCGCCAGCUAAGGUCCCAAAGUCAUGGUUAAGUGGGAAACGAUGUGGGAAGGCCCAGACAGCCAGGAUGUUGGCUUAGAAGCAGCCAUCAUUUAAAGAAAGCGUAAUAGCUCACUGGUCGAGUCGGCCUGCGCGGAAGAUGUAACGGGGCUAAACCAUGCACCGAAGCUGCGGCAGCGACACUCAGGUGUUGUUGGGUAGGGGAGCGUUCUGUAAGCCUGCGAAGGUGGCCUGUGAGGGUUGCUGGAGGUAUCAGAAGUGCGAAUGCUGACAUAAGUAACGAUAAAGCGGGUGAAAAGCCCGCUCGCCGGAAGACCAAGGGUUCCUGUCCAACGUUAAUCGGGGCAGGGUGAGUCGACCCCUAAGGCGAGGCCGAAAGGCGUAGUCGAUGGGAAACGGGUUAAUAUUCCCGUACUUGGUGUUACUGCGAAGGGGGGACGGAGAAGGCUAUGUUGGCCGGGCGACGGUUGUCCCGGUUUAAGCGUGUAGGCUGGUUUUCCAGGCAAAUCCGGAAAAUCAAGGCUGAGGCGUGAUGACGAGGCACUACGGUGCUGAAGCAACAAAUGCCCUGCUUCCAGGAAAAGCCUCUAAGCAUCAGGUAACACGAAAUCGUACCCCAAACCGACACAGGUGGUCAGGUAGAGAAUACCAAGGCGCUUGAGAGAACUCGGGUGAAGGAACUAGGCAAAAUGGUGCCGUAACUUCGGGAGAAGGCACGCUGACAUGUAGGUGAAGUGAUUUACUCAUGGAGCUGAAGUCAGUCGAAGAUACCAGCUGGCUGCAACUGUUUAUUAAAAACACAGCACUGUGCAAACACGAAAGUGGACGUAUACGGUGUGACGCCUGCCCGGUGCCGGAAGGUUAAUUGAUGGGGUCAGCGCAAGCGAAGCUCCUGAUCGAAGCCCCGGUAAACGGCGGCCGUAACUAUAACGGUCCUAAGGUAGCGAAAUUCCUUGUCGGGUAAGUUCCGACCUGCACGAAUGGCGUAAUGAUGGCCAGGCUGUCUCCACCCGAGACUCAGUGAAAUUGAACUCGCUGUGAAGAUGCAGUGUACCCGCGGCAAGACGGAAAGACCCCGUGAACCUUUACUAUAGCUUGACACUGAACAUUGAGCCUUGAUGUGUAGGAUAGGUGGGAGGCUUUGAAGUGUGGACGCCAGUCUGCAUGGAGCCGGCCUUGAAAUACCACCCUUUAAUGUUUGAUGUUCUAACGUGGACCCGUAAUCCGGGUUGCGGACAGUGUCUGGUGGGUAGUUUGACUGGGGCGGUCUCCUCCUAAAGAGUAACGGAGGAGCACGAAGGUUGGCUAAUCCUGGUCGGACAUCAGGAGGUUAGUGCAAUGGCAUAAGCCAGCUUGACUGCGAGCGUGACGGCGCGAGCAGGUGCGAAAGCAGGUCAUAGUGAUCCGGUGGUUCUGAAUGGAAGGGCCAUCGCUCAACGGAUAAAAGGUACUCCGGGGAUAACAGGCUGAUACCGCCCAAGAGUUCAUAUCGACGGCGGUGUUUGGCACCUCGAUGUCGGCUCAUCACAUCCUGGGGCUGAAGUAGGUCCCAAGGGUAUGGCUGUUCGCCAUUUAAAGUGGUACGCGAGCUGGGUUUAGAACGUCGUGAGACAGUUCGGUCCCUAUCUGCCGUGGGCGCUGGAGAACUGAGGGGGGCUGCUCCUAGUACGAGAGGACCGGAGUGGACGCAUCACUGGUGUUCGGGUUGUCAUGCCAAUGGCACUGCCCGGUAGCUAAAUGCGGAAGAGAUAAGUGCUGAAAGCAUCUAAGCACGAAACUUGCCCCGAGAUGAGUUCUCCCUGAGACUUAGAGUCUCCUGAAGGAACGUUGAAGACGACGACGUUGAUAGGCCGGGUGUGUAAGCGCAGCGAUGCGUUGAGCUAACCGGUACUAAUGAACCGUGAGGCUUAACCUUACAACGCCGAAG
RNAcentral lists this ribosomal RNA (2925 nucleotides) under Salmonella enterica subsp. enterica serovar Quebec str. S-1267. RNAcentral describes it as "bacterial LSU rRNA". It matches the Rfam family "Bacterial large subunit ribosomal RNA". Lineage: Bacteria; Pseudomonadati; Pseudomonadota; Gammaproteobacteria; Enterobacterales; Enterobacteriaceae. The record is from RNAcentral.